UUUACGUCGGCGUACAGUCUCUUUUAGUGUGAAGAAAUCGUUAAGUGAGCUGCUAUUUUUAACUGCCAAAACUAUUAAGGCCUAGAUGAAGUUGCAGUAAUUACCAGGAACACUAUUUUAAUUUCUGAAAUAUCAAAUAGCAGUAUCAUAAUGGAAACACUGGGAUGUGUCAGAGGGACAAUAUCAAGUCACAUUAAUUUCCAGAGGGAACAUUGGGUAGCUGUCUGAAUUCUAACAAAACUGACAUGACAAGAAUCACAAUUUAUCCUUUCACUGAGUGUUGUAGACAGGAAAAAUGUGAAGUUACCAUUAGUGAAACCAGCACUUUCUAGUGAAGAUACCAUGGAAGUUAUGGUGGAAAAUGUGUAAAAGAGGAUGACACCUAGUUUACACAAGUCCAGUGUCUUCUAAUAUUGGGAGCCUCGUUUCAAUGAAAAGGCAACAGGCUUAUGAUGCAGCUUGUCUGUAUUAUUCUCCAACUGGAGGAAUUCCUGUACACGUUUUCUAAUCCCAAUCAAAUACUGAAAUCUUGUGUUUGAUCUUGGUGAGAUUUGUUUUGCUGGUAUUUGAGCUCUGGGAAUAAUAGUGAAGCUAAUUACCAGUCCAUUUUAGAGGCUGUUGUAGAAGGAAGGGUUCAUUCCUGGGAAGAAUGUGGAUAACCAUUGUAGACAGAAUUCAGCGGGAAUUUUGAAUGAAGAAUUUAUUCAGGGAUAUCCCAAUUCAAGGGACAUGAAUCUUGUACCUGUGAGGAUGUGUCUAAAUGUGUAUGUACAAAUGACCUAAGAACUUGUAUGCAAUGGAUUUAUGCUUCAUCUGGAGUGAGAGAAAGCAAAGGAUGAACUUCCUGGAAGUGUUAUCUUCAAAGCUGCUAUUUACAUAUUGCCCUAAAGUGCUUCAUAACAAGUAUGGAAUCAUGAUGGACCUUUAUUGGAAGAUGAAGCAUUGAUCUACCAGAGUAAGGUGCAGAAGUAAGAUAGCACGAAACAUCCCGACUGCAUUUCACAACACUGGAAGAUAUGUUACGUCAGGGGAUGAGUGUCCAUCGAGACGUCAUAAAAAAAGAUCGUUGGACGUUUUUCAAUGGAUGUGUGGAUAUUCAGUGUUUUAUGUUCGUUGAUAAUAAAAUUUGUUUUAGACGCA
Molecule: long non-coding RNA, 1140 nt
Filed under: Limulus polyphemus (Atlantic horseshoe crab)
Lineage: Eukaryota; Metazoa; Arthropoda; Merostomata; Xiphosura; Limulidae
Description: uncharacterized LOC106458134, transcript variant X4
Source: RNAcentral